GGACACCCCUAACAAUCCGGAGCAGGAAUCCUUUCUGCCCAGUUUGGUGCUGCAGACCGUUCUAAAGCAAGGCCGCCCUAAGGGCUACCAGCUCCUUCUGCCGACCACAAACCGGCAGCAGGCUCACAGGUGAAUGCCUGCCAGAGGCCCCCCUGCUCAGAAGUGUACCCAUGCCAGGCAAUGAGGAGAGUGCUUCUUCGCCCCACAAAUAAACACACCUCCCAGGUGGCUGGGAUGGAUCACUAGGUC
RNAcentral lists this long non-coding RNA (249 nucleotides) under Rattus norvegicus (Norway rat). Its description in RNAcentral is "long non-coding RNA NONRATT019146". Lineage: Eukaryota; Metazoa; Chordata; Mammalia; Rodentia; Muridae. The record is from RNAcentral.